Molecule: ribosomal RNA, 1443 nt
Filed under: metagenome
Description: bacterial SSU rRNA
Rfam family: Bacterial small subunit ribosomal RNA
Source: RNAcentral
AGAGUUUGAUCCUGGCUCAGGAUGAACGCUGGCGGCGUGCUUAACACAUGCAAGUCGAACGAUCCUUCGGGAUAGUGGCGGACGGGUGAGUAACGCGUGGGAAUCUGCCCUCAGGAGGGGGAUAACGGCUGGAAACGGCCGCUAAUACCCCAUAUGCCGAGAGGUGAAACGAAUUUCGCCUGAGGAUGAGCCCGCGUCUGAUUAGCUAGUUGGUGGGGUAAAGGCCCACCAAGGCGACGAUCAGUAGCUGGUCUGAGAGGAUGAUCAGCCACACUGGGACUGAGACACGGCCCAGACUCCUACGGGAGGCAGCAGUGGGGAAUUUUCCGCAAUGGGCGAAAGCCUGACGGAGCAACGCCGCGUGAGGGAUGAAGGCCUCUGGGCUGUAAACCUCUUUUCUCAAGGAAGAAGACCUGACGGUACUUGAGGAAUAAGCCACGGCUAAUUCCGUGCCAGCAGCCGCGGUAAUACGGGAGUGGCAAGCGUUAUCCGGAAUUAUUGGGCGUAAAGCGUCCGCAGGCGGCCUUGUAAGUCUGUUGUUAAAGCGUGGAGCUUAACUCCAUUUAAGCAAUGGAAACUACAAGGCUGGAGUGUGGUAGGGGCAGAGGGAAUUCCCGGUGUAGCGGUGAAAUGCGUAGAUAUCGGGAAGAACACCAGUGGCGAAGGCGCUCUGCUGGGCCAUAACUGACGCUCGUGGACGAAAGCCAGGGGAGCGAAAGGGAUUAGAUACCCCUGUAGUCCUGGCCGUAAACGAUGAACACUAGGUGUCGGGGGAAUCGACCCCCUCGGUGUCGUAGCCAACGCGUUAAGUGUUCCGCCUGGGGAGUACGCACGCAAGUGUGAAACUCAAAGGAAUUGACGGGGGCCCGCACAAGCGGUGGAGUAUGUGGUUUAAUUCGAUGCAACGCGAAGAACCUUACCAGGGUUUGACAUCCUGCGAACCCCUGAGAAAUCGGGGGGUGCCUUCGGGAGCGCAGAGACAGGUGGUGCAUGGCUGUCGUCAGCUCGUGUUGUGAGAUGUUGGGUUAAGUCCCGCAACGAGCGCAACCCACGUCUUUAGUUGCCAGCAUUCAGUUGGGCACUCUAGAGAGACCGCCGGUGAUAAACCGGAGGAAGGUGUGGAUGACGUCAAGUCAUCAUGCCCCUUACAUCCUGGGCUACACACGUACUACAAUGCUACGGACAAAGGGCAGCAAGCUCGCGAGAGUUAGCAAAUCCCAUAAACCGUGGCACAGUUCAGAUCGUAGGCUGCAACUCGCCUACGUGAAGGAGGAAUCGCUAGUAAUCGCAGGUCAGCAUACUGCGGUGAAUACGUUCCCGGGCCUUGUACACACCGCCCGUCACACCAUGGAAGUUGGCCAUGCCCGAAGUCGUUACUCCAACCCUUGUGGAGGAGGACGCCGAAGGUGGGGCUGAUGACUGGGGUGAAGUCGUAACAAGGUA